RNAcentral lists this long non-coding RNA (984 nucleotides) under Equus caballus (horse). RNAcentral describes it as "lncRNA (ENSECAG00000044681.1)". Lineage: Eukaryota; Metazoa; Chordata; Mammalia; Perissodactyla; Equidae. The record is from RNAcentral.
GGGGGAAAUGUCCCAACUGGAGCAGCAGUGCCAGACAAUUAGGUCAGCAGGAUGAAGCAAGUCCUCAACGGAAAAUCCAGUCAAGGGAUUAGAAGUCAGGAAAAGGGCAAACAGGUUGGGAAGUAGAAUGACUACAGGAUGUAAAGGGGACCAGAGCAAGGUUCAGGAAGAAGACAAAAGUGUCAGAGAUGGGCUGAAUGUGGAGGCAGAUUCAUGGCUCAGGAAUAUACCAUUUGACCGAAACGAGUGGAAGAAUUGGAUCAAAGGCCUAAAACACACCAGCUUCUGCAUUUCCAGGUUAAAGCUGACUCCACAUCCUAAGGGACCAACACAAGCCAUCAAGUUAAAUGAUGUCCCUGAUAGCUCCGUGGAUCAAUAGUUAUAUAGGCCUAUUCCUCAUCUGAGCUCUGUCAGGGCCCAAAUUAUACACUGUACAGGAAAACCACCUCCUGGAUUUACUGCUUCUGCACCCCCCAGCCAUGGCAGGUGGCUUAUCGCCCUGCAUUUAUUUCUUUUAAGCUUUAACUAAGUCUUCGCUCCCGAUUUUUCGACAUUUCCAAAGUGGUGGAGCAGCAAUUAGUCAAGUUCUCCUUCUACAAAACAGCAAGGAUUUCCUUGACUUUUAAAGAGACUCUUUAAUGUCCUAUUUCUCUCACAGAGUUAUGAAAAAUCUUCAAGUUGAAGGACAUACAUUUGGCAGAGAUUAUAAUAGUAUGAAGAAGCAGACAAGAACUUGACCAUCUACAGUAUUUUUGAUGCCCGUAGGAUAAUCCGCUAGACUCUGGACCAUCAGCAUUUGUAGGGAGUGGCUGAUGAACUGAAACCUCUAGUUCUCCUCCUGAUGCUCAGGUGCUGGUAAAAGGCAGCUGUUUCCAGAUGUCAUGAAUCAACCUUUAUGUCUGGCUGACGUGGUGUUUGCAGGAAACAUCUUGCAAUACCGUCGUGGGUUACUGGGAGCUUCUUGGACAAGAUUAUUUGCAAGUC